RNAcentral lists this ribosomal RNA (216 nucleotides) under uncultured bacterium. Its description in RNAcentral is "partial 16S ribosomal RNA". It matches the Rfam family "Bacterial small subunit ribosomal RNA", at positions 70 to 305 of the family's 1533-position model. The record is from RNAcentral.
GAAAGUACUUCGGUACGAGUAGAGUGGCGCACGGGUGAGUAACGCGUGGGAACCUGCCUUUUUCUGCGGGAUAACGGUUGGAAACGACCGCUAAUACCGCAUACGCCCUACGGGGGAAAGGUCCGCCGGAAAAAGAGGGGCCCGCGUCUGAUUAGCUUGUUGGUAGGGUAAUGGCCUACCAAGGCGACGAUCAGUAGCUGGUCUGAGAGGAUGAUC